GUAGGGAAGAAAUAAUGUGUCCUGACCCAUAAAGCUGACAGUUGCAAAGAUGUACACAGUGAUAGGAAUUUGCACACAAAACUGCCCGGAGUGAUUUAAUUGGACAAACACGUACAGGAGCAAGAGGGAUGUUUUGCUCUUGACAAAAGGGCUGAUAACGACAGAGCAGCCUGGUGUCAGCGCUGCCAGUGGAAGCUGUUACUGGCCUCAAAAAAUGCAGAGAAAGUCAAUCCUUGCAGCAACACCACUGCACAGAGGGAUAAUCACUUCUCUGUUGACACGCUGAUAAAACUUCAUGCAUGGCUUCUCACUUUGUGAGGAGCAGCCAGCCUGAAAGAAUGACAUCUCUCCUCAUUAUUGUGGAGAACAUAUGGGAGCCCACACAGCUGCCAGACAUGGGGGCUGGAACAGGCUGGCCUUCGGUGAGAUCUCGAGCUGCUCACAAGGUCACAGCCGGAGCUGAGCGCACAAAGCUCCAGCGCUCACUGUAGCACUGGACGUAUCGUAACGGGUCUUUAAUCACACCCGGCGCUUAAGACGUUCUCAAUCACUUACAUUUCUGCGAGGCUGCCUGCUUUAUUUUCAGGGUCAUGAUCGGCUGCAGCUCCCGGCACAGAAACCACUGACAGUCACUGAGUGUUUGCUGCUUAAUGGAUUUGAACAGUGUCAGCAAAAGCACACAGACCCAGUGACAGACAUGCAAAUUCCAAACUCACUCAUCUGGAAAUGAUUAUGUAUUUGCGUAUAAAUAAAUAAGUAAGUUAAAAAAAACUCAACAUUUUUAAUAUUAGCAUUUCAAUGCACAUUUCUAGAAACCAACUCUAGAUGGCACUGGAGGCCCAACGGACUGGUUGAUGUGUGGGGAGCAUGUUUACGCAGGCAUAUCUGCAUCUGUGCUCUACCUCCAGAUUCAAUUAUUCAUCAUUUCUUGCGCAAAUUUGCUUUGGCUUUUCUACCUGUCUUCAUUUUUCCUCUUUUCUUUUUCGCCUCUUCUCAGUUGUGUUCAUCAUUUGUUACGCCGGGGGUCACAAUGUUUGGACAGAAUAGAAACUCAUCAAGUCACUGCGUGGGUUUCAUCAUUGUACUGAUACAUUUUGGGUUAUUAUACUCUCUCUCUCUCUCUCUCUCUCUCUCUCACACACACACACACACUAGGUAAUCCUUACGUAAUGGUAAUCCAGAUUCUAAUUCUAACAUCUACACUAAGUCUUAAAUAUCAAAUCACCCAGUCACUCAUUUGACAUUUUCCCCGUCCCCGACAAGGACAGUCUGUCCACCACACACAUAUAAUUGCCUCUAAAGUAAGUCUACACAAGUAUAGCUGUAUCAGAGACACAUAAUGUGAAGAAGUGUGGACAUUGUCAUAAUGUCCUGUGGACAUGUUUAUAUUCUACAGUAUGUUUCUCCAGAUUUGAUUCAAUGGCUUUCAAUAUAUCAUGCAUGUGUUUCCUGAAUGCUCACAAUUCAUUAUGGUAUCUUUUAUGUGAGGGCCAUUUCUAAUGCAAAGAAUUACUCAUAAUGACAUAUUGACUUUGAAAACGCACUUUUUAUCUGAGUGACUCGGUAUCCAUGGUAAGCAGAUUUGUUGGUCACAGUGAACUGUCAAGCAUCUUCAGGGCAUAUAGGAUUUAUUAUUUUUUUGCUGUUCAGGUUUUCACAUAUCCAGGUCAUUUCAUGCUAAAAUGUCCAGAAGUAGGCAGCGAAGGGCUUUAGGGUACCUCUCUUCAGUACGUGUUGGCAACUUUUAAACAUCUUAGAAAAGUGAAAAAUGCUAUAUAUCGUUGUUUCCCAAAGACUGUGUUGUGACCCUCAGGUGGGUUGCAAGAGAUUUUUUUUUUUUGGGGGGGGGGUUAUCUCACAUAAUGGUUCCCAGGAGUUUGCGAAUAAUGUCUAUUGACUUGGGUUGUGAAGGUUUGUGACUUUUAAAAUACGGGUCCCCAGAAUAAAACGUUUGGAAAACACUGAAUAAGACCCUGCAACAGGCUGCCACACGGGAAGCGUUAUCUUGCAUUUUGUGUUUUAAUUGUGUUAUUGUACCAAGGACUGCAAGUACUGCACCAUCGUUAAAAGAUCAUUAAAUUUUCAAAAUAAAACAUCUUUUAGACUUUCUUAUGUUAGUAUCACAGUCUGAAUGACAGAUUAUCUUUAAAUGAUAAAAGUAAAGGGAUAUGACUGGAUUCUAUUUGAAUGAAGUAAAUGAGUAAAACUGAAGUACAUUUUUUCACUAUGUCCCACUUCGGCCUGAUACUAACCCCAGGUUGGGGACCCCUAGUUUGGGUGCUUUUGCAGUUUUUAGGUUGCUAUUGAAGUUUUGUAUAUAAAAAAACCCCAUCGUGAUCCCACUUAGAUCCAUGGAGAGAACACACACCUGAAAAACAUUGCUGUUGAUAAUGAACUCCUGGUACACACUCCCCUCAGUCGUUCAUGAAUACUCAGCAGAGCCCAUUAUAACCAAUAGAUCCAAUGAGUAUGUGUUUUUGCCAGAGUCUGUCGUAAAAGGAAAUUAAAUAUGUAUAUAACUGGAAAUGAUUAAUAUUUGGAUCACAGUGAAGAUGGCUCUCAUCCCAAAACUUAAAGAGUUGUUAGAUGAAAGCUGGGAUGCAAAUGUGUCCCAUCAUUGAACCCAACGAUGCAACAGCUGGGCUGCACCAUGUUUCCAUGAUUACUGAUUUGUAACCAUUCAAUUUGCACACCUCAGGUGAAACUGAGGACAUUUACUUUAGAAAAAAGUCUGUGAGUUUAUAAAAAUCCUCCACCCUACUUUUAACAGGUUUUCCACCACUAACCUCCAACUUUUUCAUUUUAUUUAUAUUUUGAAAUUCAGCAGGCUAAAGUGGCUCCUUUUAAAAAAGGCCGUUUGUUGGGAUUUAAAGACAAGCUGUUCCGAGACUUAUUAUAUUUUUUUCUGAAGUUUGAGUGUGAAACGUUAUUGUAUUGGAUUAUUUGGAACAGCAGGAGAAUGAUGUACCGCCUCAGAAACAGCUGGGUGCUGUUAUUUCUCUGAUUAACUAUGUCUGAUUUAGUCUGUCUUUGUUCACACAGGACACAAUCUUAGGUUUCAUAAAUUAUUUCAAAACCACACUGAAGGGUUUUUUGUGUUAAAUGACGAUGAUACGUGGAGAUUUAAAAUCUUUACCAAGACAUGUACAGAUUGACAGAUUGCAAUUGACCUUCAUCAAUGUGUCAUUCACAGAGCGGUUGGUCAUCAGGGUAUCACAGUUUGAGAACCACUGAUGUAUGGUAUAGAGCAGCUGGGUAAAUAAUGCUAUUAGGCCAGACACAGCCCUUUGGGCUUUCAAAUCUGGCCCGCCAAACACUGGUACAAGAUGUGAUAAAUACUUCUGUUUCAAGCAUUACAGCAAAUUCACAGUAAUUUCAGUUGCUAUAUUAUCUUUGAAAGUUUAGGUUUGUUCUUGUAGAUCUAAUUUAUAUUAUUAUUUUUUUGACUAAUUUUGGCUUGUGAGCCAAAAAGUUAGCCUACCCCUGGUUUUAGAGUCGGUGUCUUGUUUAAAAGAUAAAAGGCUGAGUUAAAGGUGGAGGAGAUAAAGAUGCUUUACUGGGAAUGCUGAGGAUGGACAGCAUUAGAAAUGAGCAGAUCAGAGGGACUGUUAAGAUGAAGCAGUUUGGAGAUAAUGUUUAAGAGGUUAGGUGGAGAUGGUUUGGACAUGUGUUGAGGAGAGAAAGUAGAUGUUGUGACAGAAGACAUGGAGAUAGUUGGACUAAAAAAAGAGGAGACAGGAGAUAGGGUGACAUGGAGGCAGAUAAAACAGAUCAAAAUGAGAAGAUGAAGAAAAAGAAAGAAAGUUGCAGUCUUUACUGACAUUAGCUAAAAAGACAGGGUAAGAUAUUAAAACAAUCUCCACAUUCGUAUUUAAAGACACUCGCCCUGAUUAGCGUUGGGCCAUGUGUAUAUUCAGACUGUGUAAAGAAGCCCGAACCCCUGACUCUUUUUAUGUUGCUGGUAGGAGCAGUGAUGGGUGUUUGCCGGUUCUAUAUAUUGAUUUUUCCACUUCUUUGUUGUGGAUAAUCAUUUGCUUGGUUUAACAGCAGUAGUUUUACCCUGGUUGAAGUCAGACGCCUCUCUGCAAGGCUGGAAAACAGAGGCUGUAGGUGUUUGUUUUUUUCUCGUAUCAUUAGCCUCAUCAUAUUUUUAAGGUAGCUCAUUUGUUCAUGGUAGUAAAGCCAGAAUAUUCCUCAGGUUUUUGUAGCUGCUAAGCAGGUGCUAUACCUCUGAAGAGAUACUGUGUUUAGUGUCUUUCUCUGUCACCACAACUUACCUUGAAGCAGCAGCAGCUGAACCAGUGCUGGGGAUUUUUUUUCCUUCUCAGUUCACUGACUGGUAGAAACAUGACCCUGUCAGAACCGUGGGGAGGGAACAGGGGAGUGACUAUGGCAACCAGCCAAGGACAUGUUGACUUUUUUUCUUUUUGGUCUUGCUGGUGUUGCUACAUGGAGGCUGGAGAUAAGAUAGGAGCAUGGAGGUUCGCCUAAGGGGUAGAUGAGAGACGGUUUGGGGUAGAGUUUAGUUUGAAAAGGAAGUGGGGGGAGACGGGAGGGGCAAAGGGAAGUGGCAAGAGAGUUAAGAGUGGGGAGUGAGGGGGAACUGAUGUGUGAAGAAAGAAAGAGCCAAACAAGCCUGGAGUUAUAGAUUUCAGAAAGGUAAGAUGAUGGAGAGAAAAGUCAGAGAACAGAAGCAGAGUUGUAAAGUGGAGAGGAAGAAGCCAGACUUUGGAGGAUGUUUAAUCUGUCUGCUCCUCUUAAGAACACGGGGGAAUUUUGUUUUUGCCUACUUUGUUGCAGGUGGGCUUUGAACGUUGUUAUGAUUUUGGAGUAGCACAGUGCCAUAAUUCACCUGUGUAACCUGAGGUACCAGAAAGGUUCUCAUUUCACAAUAUACAGAGUUGAAAUGUUCCAAGAAGGAUCUGAAAAGGUUGGAUUUUAAAUAAAUUGAUCCCAUAUUUGGGGAAUUUUUGAUCCAUUGGACGGGAACCGAACCCAGGCCUCCCAAGUGGCAGCUCCAUCUAUUGUGAAACCCCUGUAUAACCAACCAACCAACCGACCUAUGCCAGCUGCCAGGUGGCACCACAUCUAAUUCAUUGUAUGGCCAUCUGUCAUCUGUGGGAAUCGUCCUCAUUUCUGGAGACUGUGGCUCUAUGCUGUCAUUAUCUUAGUGAAAUAUGAUCAAGUGUCAGGGUUUCCGGAAACGGCAGUCGGCUCAGCAGAACGAGUGGAGAGUAAAUGAAAGAUUGCUCAGCUCAGGAACCCUGCAGGCUAAGAAUGUGUUGUGUGUAAUUUCCGUGUAUUAAAAUUAUUGAAGCUUUGCAACAGGUUGUAGUUGUGAUCCGGUGUGAAACACAUCCCUCAGGUAAUUUAGGGGAAGCAACAAAUUCUGUGAUGGAAACCUCACUUAAAGAAGAUGUUUAGGAUU
Cynoglossus semilaevis (tongue sole) is the source of this 5428-nucleotide long non-coding RNA. RefSeq lists it as uncharacterized. The transcript is spliced from 2 exons. NCBI's taxonomy places the organism in Eukaryota, Metazoa, Chordata, Actinopteri, Pleuronectiformes, Cynoglossidae. The record is from RefSeq and is a predicted model, not a curated record.